RNAcentral lists this long non-coding RNA (210 nucleotides) under Pelobates cultripes (western spadefoot toad). The record is from RNAcentral. Lineage: Eukaryota; Metazoa; Chordata; Amphibia; Anura; Pelobatidae.
CUCAUUCCAAUUACAGGGCCUCGAAAGAGUCCUGUAUUGUUAUUUGUCGUCACUACCUCACCGCGUCGGGAGUGGGUAAUUUGCGCUCCUGCUGCCUUCCUUGGAUGUGGUAGCCGUUUCUCAGGCUCCCUCUCCGGAAUCGAACCCUGAUUCCCGUUACCCAUGGUCACCAUGGUAAGCGCAGAAAGUACCAUCGAGAGUUGAUAGGGC